GUAGGUGCUUGGUGUUUGUAGUGGGCAGCCAAAAGUAGACGGCAGCAGAGGAAGGGGAAUGAGGAAGCAGACCUGAAAGGGAGCAAGAGUGGCUUGGUGGCCAAAGACUUACAAAGGUAGACAAAUUGCUUGGCUCAGAAAUAAUGGGAGAACCAGCCUCCAGCACUGAGGGAGAAGAGAGGGAGCCUCAGUUUGGAAGGCUAGGCUUGUUGAGAUCCUGAAAGCCAAGUUUGGGGCAAGAACUUUUUAGUGAGAGAACCACAACAGAUAUUUAACUUUGCAAAACAUGCAGCAAAGAACUAAGUGUGGAAAUAGAGGCUGCAAAACUUUUAAAAUGUGCCCUGGUACAGAGGUAGACCACCCACUUGGUAAGUCAUAAAAUGGUUUACUUACAAAAUUCUUCUAAGGUCAGAUCCAUGUGUUUUUCCAUGCAGCUGUAAAACGUUGCUUAGUUACAAAAGGUAAAAGUUUCUAAACUAUUGGUAUAGAAAAAAAUACUAGUUUCAAGCUCCAUUCUUGUCUGAAACAAAAGAAGCUGGUUGAAAAAUCAUUAAGGCUGGCUGCCUCAGACCUCCUCACAUGUUGAAUUCCACAUGUGAAGUGGGAUUAAAAAAAGGCUUGAUUACCUAUUUCCUCCCAAGGUGAGGGGAAGUGACAUAGGCUAAGCCUCACAGGGCAGCUUGCUCUAUGGUUUUAACCCCUUCAUGCACUAAUUAAGAGGCAAGCAUACUGGUUUUCUGAGGCUGUUUACCCGACAAGGCUCUGGUGUGUAGUAGGAGAGCCAGAACAAGAUUUCAGGAUAGUAUAGCAGAAGCAGACCUGUGCUUAAAUAGGUCAGUAGGGGUUGAAACAGAUUUUAACACAAGUCCUCAGUUAUAGUGUUGGUUAGGCUUAACUGGGAUGGGGUAAGUGGCAACAGAGUUUUAAUAAAGUUCUUUAAAACUGUCUAGACUUAGUAAUAAUAUAAAAUAAGCCUAGGGUAUAAGUGAUAUUAAAUGAUAGCAGUGGUAUGGUUUAGAAAAAACAUUGGCAUGGAAGUUGGGUUUUCUUAAUAAGUAUGGAAAUAGCCCCCUUCCCUCCACAACAGUAAUUGUGCAAAUGUAGCAGAUAGAGCAAGGGAGAGAGCACCCCCUGAGAUUUUUAACGUCUGCAUAUCUAUAGCAGAUAACACCUAUGGAAGAUGGAAUGCAUUUUUAAUUAACCUUGUCCAGUGCAGAGCCCCAAAUGUUUAGGUAACUGCAGUGCUGCAUAAAGUAGGAAGCAACUGCUUUUGGCAGCUGGAUAUAGUUUUUGGAUAAUCAUAGCUCACUUUGUAAGUCCAAGGAACAGAAUGCACCAUGUGGGACAAUAUGUUAUUAUGCUCCAAGUUCUAAUCAAGGUGUAGUGACUUUGACCCUUAGGCUAUCUGUCUUCUUUUCCUGUUCCAUUGUAUUUUAAAACUGAAAUAACCUCUUCUUGUAUAAUUUAUACUCAAUUGACCAGCAAAGCUAUGCAUAACUAACUAUUGCAGAACUCCAUUGCCUAGAGAUCCAAGGAAAAUCAGAAAUUGAAUACUAGUGUCAAGCUCUAGUGAGCUCUUUCCCUGCAGGACACCCAGCUCCUCAAUACUACCUGCUCAUCCUCAG
Podarcis lilfordi (Lilford's wall lizard) is the source of this 1625-nucleotide non-coding RNA. Lineage: Eukaryota; Metazoa; Chordata; Lepidosauria; Squamata; Lacertidae. The record is from the annotation of a GenBank genome assembly.